This 291-nucleotide ribosomal RNA is filed under the name Triticum aestivum (bread wheat). Its description in RNAcentral is "partial small subunit ribosomal RNA". The record is from RNAcentral. Lineage: Eukaryota; Viridiplantae; Streptophyta; Magnoliopsida; Poales; Poaceae.
AUGGAAACACGCAACUUAGUGAUGUACUUUUUGUUUCUAGAUUUUGUUCACUCAUUAAAUUUUAAGCAAGAAAAUCCACUACCCUGCAAAAAGUUCUUCCAACAAAUAUUUUUGUGUGUGCAGCUCAGAUCAAUCUUCCUAUUCAUUCAUUGCACGCUGUUAUUCUGCAGGACCGGCGAAGUGCAAGGUCAUGUACAAGGGAUAAGCUGGUCAAUGAAGGAAAUUCUAAAAGAAAGCGACUACAAGCAACAUUUGAAGGUACAGGUUGUAUUAUGUUACUUCAGAAAUUAA